Long non-coding RNA from Daphnia magna, 637 nucleotides. RefSeq lists it as uncharacterized. Lineage: Eukaryota; Metazoa; Arthropoda; Branchiopoda; Diplostraca; Daphniidae. The record is from RefSeq and is a predicted model, not a curated record. The transcript is spliced from 2 exons.
CUUAUUAAGAUCCAAAGGUAUGGGUCAAGCCUACCCCCUAGCGGCGCGUUUCAGUGUGAAGGGGUGCCGUGAACAGCCGCUUUUUAUUUGGCUUGCCGCAUAUGGCAUGGUAAUAGGCUAUUCAACGGUAGCAGGCGACUACCACAUUUUUCGUAAGUUUCUGUCAUAUGUUGGAUUACACGGUUUCGAACAACAUUACAAGAAAUGGGAAAUACAAGAGUGUGUUGUAUUUGUGGUGUUUCUACAGUUUAUAAAAAGAAGAAUAGAAAUUCCCGUAGUUUUUUUAAGUUUCCAAACCCGAAUAUCAAAAAGUUAUUGCCAUUUGUUAAGGAUCUGUUGGAAAGGAGGCUUGUUGCAUGGAAAGAAGUUGUUGGAACGAAUUAUGAUAAUUUCCCUAUUGGACUUAUUUGUGUUUGUUCUGACCACUUCCAAUCAGGUAAACCAGCUAACAUUUGCAAUGUAAACGAUAUUGCAAGCUUUAGAUGUUGGUGCUACUUGAUCUUCAUCAGCAUUCCAAGCAGUUUCAGUUCUACGACUGGGGAGUUCAUGCUCAGCAACAGCAAGUUGCAGCAAUGCACUAACAUGAAUGCAGACUCUCCCAAGCCUAUUUUAAUACAACAAUAAAUGAUUACUAGCA